Small nucleolar RNA from Hucho hucho (huchen), 149 nucleotides. The record is from Ensembl. NCBI's taxonomy places the organism in Eukaryota, Metazoa, Chordata, Actinopteri, Salmoniformes, Salmonidae.
CUUCGGUGAUGAUACGAUGACGAGUCGGAACGGGACACAGUCUGUCUCUGGGGUCACUGGGCCAGGGUCACGUUCUGUGUCUCUGGGUUGGGAUCCCCACAGCAGCGUGUCUCUUCAGUUGAAGACAUCGAGGCAUUUGUCUGAGAAGG